This 499-nucleotide ribosomal RNA is filed under the name uncultured bacterium. RNAcentral describes it as "bacterial SSU rRNA". It matches the Rfam family "Bacterial small subunit ribosomal RNA", at positions 36 to 524 of the family's 1533-position model. The record is from RNAcentral.
CUGGCGGCAGGCUUACACAUGCAAGUCGAACGGUAGCAGGAGGAAGCUUGCUUUCUUGCUGAUGAGUGGCGGACGGGUGAGUAAUGCUUGGGAAUCUGGCUUAUGGAGGGGGAUAACUACUGGAAACGGUAGCUAAUACCGCGUAAUAUCAAGAGAUUAAAGGGUGGGACUUUCGGGCCACCUGCCAUAAGAUGAGCCCAAGUGGGAUUAGGUAGUUGGUGGGGUAAAGGCCUACCAAGCCUGCGAUCUCUAGCUGGUCUGAUAGGAUGGCCAGCCACACUGGAACUGAGACACGGUCCAGACUCCUACGGGAGGCAGCAAGUGGGGAAUAUUGCACAAUGGGGGGAACCCUGAUGCAGCCAUGCCGCGUGAAUGAAGAAGGCCUUCAGGUUGUAAAGUUCUUUCGGUGAUGAGGAAGGUGUUUUGUUUAAUAGACAAAGCAAUUGACGUUAGUCACAGGAGAAGCACCGGCUAACUCCGUGCCAGCAGCCGCGGUAAU